AAGUGAGGCAGCAGCCAAGCAGCACCAAGUUGCUGUGUAAGCAGUGGGAUGUUCCCUAGAAACUGCUUGGAGCUGAGCCAAGGAACUUCAAGGGACUGAGCAAGCAAAGGCAAGAAAGAAUGAAGAAGGGAACUGAGGCAGCAGCCAAGCAGCACCAAGCUCCUCUACAACCAGGGAAGCUGUAGAGGGGGGCUCUUCCUUUCCCUGCACUGUAGGUGCAGGAGAGGCUCACCACUGAAGCUGAGCCAGGAGACUGGGCCGUGGAGGUAGGCCCGGCGCUCGGGGAAGAGUCCCAGGUGGAAUUGGAGCCGAGCCCAGAGCUGGGGAGCUGCUGCCAAAGCUGAGCGGGGGCAGCCGAGAACUGCUGUGGAGGAAGGAAGAUUCCAGGCCGGGGACCUGGAUAAGCUGCACUGCAGCAGCCCCUGGACCAAGGGGAGACCCCCAGAGGGAGAGAUCACCAGCAGCAGAAGAGCAAGGACUCACAGCUGUCUUCUUGGAGUUGGUGAGGAGAGAAACUGAACAACCAACUGGAACUUGGGGAGGGGGGAGCGCUCAGGAGCC
Pipra filicauda (Wire-tailed manakin) is the source of this 561-nucleotide long non-coding RNA. RefSeq lists it as uncharacterized. The record is from RefSeq and is a predicted model, not a curated record. Lineage: Eukaryota; Metazoa; Chordata; Aves; Passeriformes; Pipridae. The transcript is spliced from 3 exons.